RNAcentral lists this ribosomal RNA (429 nucleotides) under Fusobacteriota bacterium. RNAcentral's name for it is "Fusobacteria bacterium partial 16S ribosomal RNA". It matches the Rfam family "Bacterial small subunit ribosomal RNA", at positions 355 to 776 of the family's 1533-position model. Lineage: Bacteria; Fusobacteriati; Fusobacteriota. The record is from RNAcentral.
UAGGGAAUCUUCCACAAUGGACGCAAGUCUGAUGGAGCAACGCCGCGUGAGUGAAGAAGGUUUUCGGAUCGUAAAGCUCUGUUGUUGGUGAAGAAGGAUAGAGGUAGUAACUGGCCUUUAUUUGACGGUAAUCAACCAGAAAGUCACGGCUAACUACGUGCCAGCAGCCGCGGUAAUACGUAGGUGGCAAGCGUUGUCCGGAUUUAUUGGGCGUAAAGCGAGCGCAGGCGGAAGAAUAAGUCUGAUGUGAAAGCCCUCGGCUUAACCGAGGAACUGCAUCGGAAACUGUUUUUCUUGAGUGCAGAAGAGGAGAGUGGAACUCCAUGUGUAGCGGUGGAAUGCGUAGAUAUAUGGAAGAACACCAGUGGCGAAGGCGACUCUCUUGUCUGCAACUGACGCUGAGGCUCGAAAGCAUGGGUAGCGAACAGG